This 240-nucleotide unclassified non-coding RNA is filed under the name soil metagenome. RNAcentral's name for it is "partial contains 5.8S ribosomal RNA, internal transcribed spacer 2, and large subunit ribosomal RNA". The record is from RNAcentral.
AAGACUAUAGACCUGCGGAGUACCUGCGGAAGGAUCAUUAACGUAUCUAUGAUGGGGUGCGGAGCGCCCUGCUCCGGUCGAACGGCCGUGCAGCGGGUGCGCCGCCCCCGUCCCACCUCACAAACCCACUGUGAACAUUCACCGGUGGAGGGGGCUCGGUCUGCGCCGUGUCCCCGAUGCCGAAUACCCAAACUCCAGUUGCAAGGAACGUCGUGCGGACUCGGUGCCGCCUAAAACAUG